This 3337-nucleotide long non-coding RNA is filed under the name Musa acuminata (dwarf banana). RNAcentral describes it as "long non-coding RNA (MACU_LNC003860)". Lineage: Eukaryota; Viridiplantae; Streptophyta; Magnoliopsida; Zingiberales; Musaceae. The record is from RNAcentral.
CCUUCCCCACUCCGAAGGCAUCGAUUCUCUGUAGCAAAGGUCGCCAGAUGCACGCCGAGCUCGUGAAGAAACAAGCUAGCAAACCCAACGAACGACGAUAAUUAACAGGAAGCUCGCCUGCCCGGGCUGGAUGCGUGUUGCAGCAGCAGAGGUCUUCUGUGUGGAACUGUACGUCUUCAUGCGGUUGAGCUGGUAGGGAUCGAUCGACAGGAACAAGUUCUUGACGACUACUUCCUUGGACCCCUGCGCGGCGGAGAGGACAAGCGGUGCGCUCCGGAGCUCGAAGUCGGACUCGUUGGGGAGGCCAUCGAUGGCGUGCUUGAUGAUGAUGUGCUUGUUCUCCACCUCCAUCCUCGCUGCGCUCUCUGUUCUUGCCAAUGGCGGCUAGUUAACGAUCCCUUGCUGCGUAACGAUAAACACGCCAAUCUGGCAGAUAGAAGAAAGAGUGUCCUCGUCCUUUUAUUAUUUUAAUAUUUUUGAUAUUAUAUCAUUAUAAUUUUAAAUUAUAAAAAUUAUGAUAACAUGAAGAUUCUAUCAAUAAUAAAAAUCAUAAUAUCAAUAUGAUUUUCUAAAUUAUAAAAUAAUUUAAUAAAUAUUUUAUAUUGAUUAUUAAUUAAAAAUAUAUAUAAUUAUCAUAUUUUGUAAUCUCUCUUUGUGUAUAUAAAUUCAUAGUCACUCUCAAUUAAAAAAUUAAUUAAUUAUUUUUUCUCAUGAUAUCAUAACCAUAAUUGCUCAAAAGAUUUUUUUAAUUUUAUUUUUACUAUUAUUUCUUUAUACCUUUUCCUUUAUCAUAGUUAAAGGUAAUGCUUUGCUGUACCUAUUCUUUCAACUGGUUGAAUAUAGCAUUACAAUUUCUAUUUAGUUUUAUACUUUAAUAAACUUUUCUUUUUUAUAAGUGCCUUUGCAUUUUUUUUUUCUUGACUUUUUGGCAUGAUCGGUAAUAACUCUUCGUAUCACCCCCAAUUAUUUUACUAUUGAAAAUACUAUUGACUCCAUUAACAUUGCAAUCCAAGCUCCUCUCAAACUCAUAUUCACAAACUAUAUCUCUUAUUAUACUUGAUUAUUUAAUCGAUUAUGAUAUUAUGGGUUAAGUAAAUAAUAUCAUCACUUUUCCUCUACAAAUGAUUAGAGAGAAUAAUCUUAAGAUUAUUAAUCCUAAAUAUAUUUUUUUAAUAGGUCAAUAUCAUUUUUUUAGAAGUGUUAUCAUUACCUUUCUCUCUCAUCAAAUUAUUCCUUAGUCUCUACAAAUUUUUUCUUACGAAGUAUAGUCCAAAUUUACAAUAAUAUACAUCAACCAAUCUCGUAGUCACCUAAUGCAACUUCUAGAAAUUCUUUAAAACUCUAAUGAUAAAGAGAUCAUUUUUUUCAUGUAUUAAAUAUUCUUGGUCCAAAUUAUAAGGAGAUCUCGUGAUAAACUUAUAAGUUUUGAAGAAUUAUGAGACAAGUCAAUCGAUCAUCUCGGGAUAACACAGUGAAACUCACUCUCUCUAAUACCCCUUUCAUCGUCGUCCGAUAAUGCAGGUACCAUGGGACCCACCAUUGUCUCCUAUCACAAUGUAAACAAUUCAUUCUCCUACUGUACAUUAUUGACGAUAAAAAGAUUCGAGUGAAUUUUUAGAAAAAAUAUUUAUUUUUUUGAAAUUCUUCACAUAACAUUCAUAUUUUAAAAUAAUUAAAUAUUUUUUAAUAAUCAUUUUAUCCUUACUUUAGUUAAACCCUUUACCCAGCCCAGCCCAUUAGCCAUCGCCUGCAUUGUCACCUUCGUCGGAACUCAAUAAUCAAUGAUGAUGGCGCUCGUUCGAUGCCAGUGGAGUGUGAACUUAUGCGUGAUGAAAGGAGACGAUCAACUCUAGCACAAGAGCUAUAGUGGAGGGAGCGAUCCGCAUGAAGAAAGGGACUUGCAAGCUUCGACGAGGAUUACGAGCAAUGAUUGGGAUGACAGAGGUAAUGAUGGGUCCCGUAGAAAAACAAAAGGUAAAAUAAAAUUUUCAUAAAAUUAGUAAGAACAUGUAAAUUUUUGAAAAAUAAACGUUUUUUCGAAAAUUCGCCAAAAGCUUUCCGCUCUUAUUCAUCACAAGCAAUUCAGUCUAUCACAAACUUGUCAAAUGCACGAGCUUUUUGCCGACAUUAUCACCUCGAAACAGCCCAGCAAAAGCAGAUGGCACGCUUUCGAGGCCAGUGGAUAUGUCUUCGACUGCUCGCAUUCUGCCAUGGCGAAGAUGGUCGGAUGUGGACGAUAUGAAUCCAGCGUACACGUGAAGGUGAUCGAAGGCGAGGAACCCGCGGAGUGUGAUCCGUUUAUAGAUCACAUCGACCGUAUCAAGCGCCAGUCGCUUGCCAGCGUCCGCGUAUUCGGAGAUUGCUCCGCAUACUGCAACUCUACCAAAAAGGUUCAUGUUGGCGACUGCAGCCUCUAACAUCGCAGAACCAACGUUGUCGAAGUAUAUGUCGAUUCCUUCCGGGAAGUACCUAUUCAUAAAAGUAAUCAGGAAGUAUGAACUGCUGCUUGCAAAGAUCGAUACAAGAUGGGAUCUGUCUUACCUUCUAAGAGCAGACUUUAGAUCAGGUUCUUCUUUGUAGUUAAACGCGUCAUCAAAUCCAAGCUUCUCUUUUAGAAGAUCCACCUUCGUCUUGCUUCCGGCGCAUCCCACGACGUAGCAGCCAGAGAGCUUGGCGUAUUGGCCGACCAAACUCCCCACCGAACCGGAUGCUGCGGAGACGAAGACCUUCUCCCCCUUCUUCGGCUUGCAGAUGUCGUAGAAGCCAGCGUAAGCUGUCAAUCCACUCGUCCCUGCGGCAAACAGCAGUGCGUUAUGAUCAGAGUGUCUCGUGGCCUUCUCCGUCUGUCAAUCUUGUGGAUCCAUUUCCUGCGUCUCUCUGAUAAUUACCUAAGAUGCUCGCAUGGUAUGACAGGGGGAACUCAUGCGGGUCAACCUUGGUCAACGUGGUUCCCGGCCGGACGACCGUGUAUUCCUCCCAGGCCAGAAGUCCGACCACCACAUCGUCUCUUUCGAACUCCUCGUUCCCUGAGACCACGACCUUCCCCACUCCGAAGGCAUCGAUUCUCUGUAGCAAAGGUCGCCAGAUGCACGCCGAGCUCGUGAAGAAACAAGCUAGCAAACCCAACGAACGACGAUAAUUAACAGGAAGCUCGCCUGCCAGGGCUGGAUGCGUGUUGCAGCAGCAGAGGUCUUCUGUGUGGAACUGUACGUCUUCAUGCGGUUGAGCUGGUAGGGAUCGAUCGACAGGAACAAGUUCUUGACGACUACUUCCUUGGACCCCUGCGCGACGGAGAGGACAAGCGGCGCGCUCCGGAGCUCGAAGUCGGACUCGGUGG